UUCAAAAAUAAAAAAAAUUUUAUAAAUACAUUUUAAAAGCGAUGUUCAGCAGCAAUAUACAACAUUAUAAACUGUUGCAAAUAUUAAAAUAUGGAAAAUUUAGAACGGUUUACAAGGGAUUUGAUUUAAAUAAUACAAGUUUAGCUAUUAAAAAAAUUUCUCUGGACCGACCAACAGAGGAGCUUACAGCAAUGUGCAAUGAAGUUUCUACUAUUCGUCGUUUCAAGCAUAAAAAUAUUAUUACAAUCCUUCACUGCUUUUUGUAUAAUCAGCAUGCAUAUCUGAUGUACCCAUAUAUGUGUUUUGGAAAUUGUGAAAUGCUGCUUCAAAAAGUGUAUACCUCUGGAUUUCCGGAAAUUAUGAUAGCACUUAUCAUGAAGGAUGUUUUAUCAGCUAUUACAUAUAUUCACUCUGAGAACUGUGUCCAUGGAUCGAUAAGAGCUCAGCACAUUCUUAUAAAUUCUAGAAAAGCUGUUAUAUCAAAUUUUCGAGAUUGCCAAACUUUUAUUAUUCAAGGAGAAAAAAAAAAGUUCCUAUAUGGAUCAACGGUGGGGGAAAAAAAACCAUUGUAUUGGAAAGCACCAGAGGUCUUAACUCAAAACCUUUCUGGCUACACCGAAAAAAUAGACAUAUAUUCCACAGGAAUCACUUGUUGUGAAAUGGCAAACGGCUUUCAACCAUUUCAAGGCACAGAAUUAACAUACAUGUUUAUUGAGAAAAUUCGUGGUAGUCGUCCUUUGCUAUUGGAUCACAACAGUAUUAUGGAAGACCAAGAGUCAAGUUUACUGCUUCAAACAAAUGAACUGUUUCACCGUGAUAUAUUUAUGAAAAAAAAAUUUUCAGAUGACUUUCAUCAGUUCGUAGAACUAUGCUUAAAUAAAAAUCCACAGUCUCGAUGGGCUACGUCUAAACUAAUGACACACUCCUUUCUUAAGCAAUGUCGGUCUACAAGUUUUUCAGAGCAAUUUCAGGAUUUCAAUCAUGAUAUGUCUAAUUUAAAAUUGAAAGAACGUACAAUCUCUGAGAUAAACCAUCCGAGCCUCCGGAGAAAGAGCUACAAAAGGCAAUGAGGUGCAUUAAGAACUUGAGCUGCCUUAAGCAGAAGGCUACUCAGACCCUUGAUGCAGAGGUACCUAUGACCGCAACGACCCCAAUAACACUAGAGCCCACUAUAUGAAACGUUUUGUGGCGCUGACACCAACAGAAUCAGGAACAAUGAUAAUACCAUAUGGAAUUUUUAAUCAAUUAAAAUAAGAUGCAUGAUUUUUUGGGCCCAAGUUCUUUAACAUAUUUGCAUAUUCCUCUUCUCUCUCUCUAUUCAACGAAUCCCUUUUUAAAGAAUAUGUUUGUUUGGCCCAAUUCAGUUCGAAUAUGGUAAAACCAAAUAAAGAGAAUAGCGAAAUGUUUUUGUUUGUCACAA
This is an RNA transcript of Drosophila biarmipes, 1420 nucleotides long. It is a transcript of the gene named putative serine/threonine-protein kinase STE20-like, with no coding region annotated. Lineage: Eukaryota; Metazoa; Arthropoda; Insecta; Diptera; Drosophilidae. The transcript has 5 exons. The record is from RefSeq and is a predicted model, not a curated record.